RNAcentral lists this ribosomal RNA (253 nucleotides) under uncultured bacterium. RNAcentral describes it as "partial 16S ribosomal RNA". It matches the Rfam family "Bacterial small subunit ribosomal RNA", at positions 524 to 776 of the family's 1533-position model. The record is from RNAcentral.
UACGGAGGGUGCAAGCGUUAUCCGGAUUCACUGGGUUUAAAGGGUGCGUAGGUGGGCAAGUAAGUCAGUGGUGAAAUCUCCGGGCUUAACCCGGAAACUGCCAUUGAUACUAUUUGUCUUGAAUACUGUGGAGGUCAGCGGAAUAUGUCAUGUAGCGGUGAAAUGCUUAGAUAUGACAUAGAACACCAAUUGCGAAGGCAGCUUGCUACGCGGAUAUUGACACUGAUGCACGAAAGCGUGGGGAUCAAACAGG